Non-coding RNA from Phoenix dactylifera (date palm), 4277 nucleotides. NCBI's taxonomy places the organism in Eukaryota, Viridiplantae, Streptophyta, Magnoliopsida, Arecales, Arecaceae. The record is from RefSeq and is a predicted model, not a curated record.
AAGAAUGUAAAUCUUAGCGUGUGGGCAUCCAGCAUUGACAUGACUUAUUCUUAAAUAUACGAUUCAAUCCACGAAUCCAGGAUAAAUUCACGAUUCUAUUACCCUGGUCAAAGAAGAAUCUUUAUGAGAUUCAUGCUCCGUCACUUGCAUCGUUGCAUCAUCGCAAGUGCAUUGCACUUCCCUCACGUUCGAUAUGAAAUUAGGAAAACAUUCCUUGUUUCUUCCCCCCAAAUCGUCGGCCGCGAGCGCGCAGCCACCUCCCGCCGCCACCACCGCUUCGGUUCAGCGAACGUUUCGACGCCAAAUAGCCGUCUCCCCCUUGGAACGCUAUCAAUUCGUCGCCAGUGGUUUGCGAAUUACUGUGCUCUCUGCUUCCCUUGUGGCUAAAUUUCUAGGUUUUUUCCCCUCCCUCAGUUUUCCAUCUCUUUCUCCUUUGAUUCGUUCGGCAGGAUGAGCCUGGAAAAGAGCUCGAGCCUCUCUUCGAUUACAGCCGUGUCCAGCCCACGGAUUUCCCCUCCUUCGAUGAUGACGAUCUGGAUUCGGUUCCAAUUUUUCCUGGGAUGAAGAGGAAGAAGACCGCCGAUCGUACACUGAGUUGCAUCUUGUUCAGAUUAGGGUUUUUUGUCGUUUUGUGGAAGUUUUGGGUCCGUUAGAUUCUUCUUUUUUUUGAUUUUUUUGAAUUUUUAGGAUGGGAAGGUGAACCAAACCGAAAGGAUGUUGUUGUUUUAGAUGAUGAUGAUAAUGAUGAGAAGGGUGGAAAGGAGAGAAAAGAUGAGGAUUGGUUGCCUCCACCACCGAGGAUCCCCAGUUCAAGAUUGGCAUUGCAAGAGGAUAAGACUCUUCGCGAACUGAGGCAAAAGGAACAUAGGAGUGGACGAUUCAACCAUCAGAUGCCCGAUUCAAGGGGAUGGGACUUUAUAGGUGGGGCUAGUUUAUUUAAAAGAUGGUAAUCUUUCAGAGAUGAAUAAGGCAAAAUUGUGCACAUAUUGGAGGGUUGAUAUCAAACUAACUGCUGGUAGUCAAAUUUGCUUAUUCCUUAAUGGAGCUUUCUCAACUUUGAGUAGCCUUGUAGUUUUCUGGACUGAUUGUUUGGUCUUUAAUAUUUAACAUUCGCAGACCUUAAAGAUCUUAGUUUAUAGUAAAACUGCAAUCUUCAUGAUAGUUAUUAUGACAAAAGAGGAUAUGCAGAAUUUUUUUAACAACUAAAUUAAAGAUCUUCUUUUCCCUUUCCUAUGUAAUUCCUUCUCCUGCAGUAUGCGGACUGUUGUGCCUAGGGUGAUUUAGUUGCUUGUAUCGUUCCCUUUUUUGGGGGAUCUGAAGAAUUUUCACACUAUAGUUCUAAGAAUUUGCACAAAUUUUUUGGAAGCUCAAUGAGUGGCUUUGUAUUUCUAAUAUCAGAUGGUCUUCAGCAAGCUAUUAAUAGUGGCUUUCAAGUAAUCAAUGAACAUUGAUUAUUGGCAUAUUUGAUUGUUGAAUCGGGAAAAUGCGAGCACCUAGAAUCAUCUUUUUCUUGUUAUCAGUAUCCGGCUUCAAUAACUAAACAGUGUUUCAAAACCUUUUAAUCAAAUUUGGUCAAAGUUGGUCAUUGAUGUGGUGGGAAUUGCAAACAUUAUAGCUGGCAAAUAUUUACAAGAAUGUAAAUAGUCCAUUUGAAGACCAUGUGAACAUCAAGCUAGAUGAACCUGCUUUCUGAAAUAGCAUUGACAAAAGUGACCUAAUCAUUUGUGAUUGAUUGAAACAGUGUGACAGUGAUCUGAAUUCAGGUUGAAGGAGAAUGAUACACCAAAUUAUAGACUGGAACCAUGACAAUAAGAAAGAAGAGACCUAUAAGAAAGAUCUUGUUCACCUAUUGAUGGCUUAAAUUCAUUUCCGUUUUUAUGUAUACAGAAAUUUCAUAGUUGAAAUACAUUAUGAAUGUUGUUGCUCAUACUAACAUCCUAUGAAGUAACAUGUCUUUAUAAACCCAACAUGGUGAAUCAUUCAACUUAAUUCAGUACUCUGGCAAGUAUAUCGUAUUAUAACCUGGGUACUGUUAGGUUUCUUACAAAACUACAAAAUUUUUGAUGAUGUGUUGCUAAAAAUUUAUGUUUCUAUUGGAGCCAUGAUAUCCUGGGUCAAAGAGAUGCCAUAGUUUUACAAUUUGAAGUGUAAGAAGUUCUAUACAAUAUUGUUGUCUUUCUUAAGUGUCAUGCGAGGGUAAGCCUUGGGAGUCACAAGUCUAAAAGAUGGAAAUAGCUUCUCUGCAUGCAAUGUAAGGCUGCGUACAUCUGACCCUCCCCAGAUCCUGCAGUGGCGAGAACCUCAUGCAUUGGAGUGCCCUUUUUUCAUAAGUAUCAUGUGUAAGUCAGAAAUACUGGUGUUAUAGACACCCCUGGCAGUACCACUUUUUAUUUUUGAGCACUGCUAAACAACCUCCAGAAUGCAUGUGGAAUGGGUGCAAUUUUUUUUCUUUUUUUCUUGUGUUUGUAUGUGUUGGUGAGGGAUUACAUGGGGGAUCGUGGUGUUUUCUGGUGCCAAAAUGCUUAUUGUGCUCUCAGCAGUUCAAAGCAGAACCAGUUGAUGCCCAUUCAGUUUACAUGCUGGGGUCCGAUCUAAAUAAGUGAGGAUGUCCAGUAGACUACCAAGAUGACAAGAUUAAAUCUUCAUUUUCCACAUCCAUACAUACAUUUGUAUAAUUUCCUUGGUAAAUCUCUGUAUUGCUAUAGGUAGUAACGGCAUGCAUCCUCUAUGUGCACCUGAACAAGCCCAAGUGACAUUCUCAGCUUAUUCAGGCUAAGAGAAGAAGAUUCCUAUUCCUACCAAAAUCCAAUUCUUCCGGACAGAUACUAUAAUAAACUUCUUGUCUAGGAGAAUCUAGCCAAACAUAACUGCCCAGAUCCCCCUUGCUGCCACUUUACUGAAGAUCUCAGAUAACCGUGGACCACCUUGCUGCCCACUUUACUUGUGGUCUCAGGUAACCAUGAACCCCCUGCUAAUCUGUUGCUCCUUCCCUCAUUCCAUUUGACUGAAUUACUUGAGAUUCCUGUGCCCAUAAGAAAUCUCGGAGCCACCUAUUAAUAGUAAUGGAACCCUGUGCAAAAUCGAAGGACAAGAUUGGAGUCAAAGGCUAGACACAUGCCCUUCAUUGCUUUGGGGGAUCCUGGUCUACUAAGAAAAAUCGUCCUGCUGUUUACAUGGUUGGGAAGCCCUGGUGCUUAUGGCUUGAACAAAACCGCUGGGUCUUCUCCAAUAAAACCAAUGAACUCUUUUGGGACUGGACUUUGUAUGCCCCUGAUAAACUUGCCAAUUCCAUUGCCUGGGUCUCUUCUCGCCCCCUUCCCCAUUUACAUCCUCUCGCUCCUCUUUCUUUUCCUCUCUGAGAAUUCUUGUACCUCCUUCAUUUUCUUAAUGAAAGCUGGGUGGGCUUUUCAGUUUUUCCCUGCCUUGCUGUGAGAGAGAAAAAGGAGAGAGAGGAGCUGCUUUAUUUCAUUGAUUCUGUAAGGAAGCUCUAAUUUGAUGUUUGAUUAUCACUAAUAACACCUUUUAUAGCAUUACUAGGAUUUGAUUAACAUAUUAGUGGAAUUAUUCUUCAAUACUAAUUAAUAUAUAAAAUCUGUAUCAUGUUUAGCUACAUAACUGAGCAUCUCUCCAAAACUCACUUGACCCUGAAGUUUUAAGUAUUCCAAUUGAUAGAGAGGAAUUCUGAAAGAGGAAAAACUUCUUUGAGGCAUCUGAGAUUUACAUUUAAUGCCUUGCAUAUGCACUUCAAGGGAUCAGCAUCCUUGUUUUUGUAGACAUUAAGUCUUUAUAUAUGGAACUAUCAAUUGGUCUCUAUGUCACGUCGUGGAUGACACUCUGGGCUCAAUUUUGAAUAAAGCUGACAGGAUGAAGACUUAAAUUUCUGCUUUCAUGUGGUGUUCUUGUAUAGAAAUUUCAGAGUAAUCUAUUUUUGUUUAUGUGAUCAUCAUUCAGCUUUUUUAAGUCUUCAGAUCUACUCUUUUGAUAGCUCGUGUUACUACAAGCAUUUUUUAAUUCUGAUGUAUCCUGCCAAAUAUGGAUGUUAGGAUCUUGUUAAUUUUUUUUUUUCCAAUACUCAAUAACUAGUCCAUAGAUUUAGGUUCCUGGUUUAUAAAAAAUAAAGUUUCCUCUAUAAUCAUCUAAGUCAAAAUAUUUAUAAUCAUUAUGUGAUUUGUUUCUAAUUUUCAGCAUUAUGUUUAAAGAAAAUAGAUAUACUUUGAUGCAACAAUAUGUAUUUCUUAAUUAUCCUUAAUGUUAUAACUGAUUAAAAUGUCCUAUUU